GAUGAACGCUGGCGGCGUGCCUAAUACAUGCAAGUCGAGCGAACGGACGAGAAGCUUGCUUCUCUGAUGUUAGCGGCGGACGGGUGAGUAACACGUGGAUAACCUACCUAUAAGACUGGGAUAACUUCGGGAAACCGGAGCUAAUACCGGAUAAUAUUUUGAACCGCAUGGUUCAAAAGUGAAAGACGGUCUUGCUGUCACUUAUAGAUGGAUCCGCGCUGCAUUAGCUAGUUGGUAAGGUAACGGCUUACCAAGGCAACGAUGCAUAGCCGACCUGAGAGGGUGAUCGGCCACACUGGAACUGAGACACGGUCCAGACUCCUACGGGAGGCAGCAGUAGGGAAUCUUCCGCAAUGGGCGAAAGCCUGACGGAGCAACGCCGCGUGAGUGAUGAAGGUCUUCGGAUCGUAAAACUCUGUUAUUAGGGAAGAACAUAUGUGUAAGUAACUGUGCACAUCUUGACGGUACCUAAUCAGAAAGCCACGGCUAACUACGUGCCAGCAGCCGCGGUAAUACGUAGGUGGCAAGCGUUAUCCGGAAUUAUUGGGCGUAAAGCGCGCGUAGGCGGUUUUUUAAGUCUGAUGUGAAAGCCCACGGCUCAACCGUGGAGGGUCAUUGGAAACUGGAAAACUUGAGUGCAGAAGAGGAAAGUGGAAUUCCAUGUGUAGCGGUGAAAUGCGCAGAGAUAUGGAGGAACACCAGUGGCGAAGGCGACUUUCUGGUCUGUAACUGACGCUGAUGUGCGAAAGCGUGGGGAUCAAACAGGAUUAGAUACCCUGGUAGUCCACGCCGUAAACGAUGAGUGCUAAGUGUUAGGGGGUUUCCGCCCCUUAGUGCUGCAGCUAACGCAUUAAGCACUCCGCCUGGGGAGUACGACCGCAAGGUUGAAACUCAAAGGAAUUGACGGGGACCCGCACAAGCGGUGGAGCAUGUGGUUUAAUUCGAAGCAACGCGAAGAACCUUACCAAAUCUUGACAUCCUUUGACAACUCUAGAGAUAGAGCUUUCCCCUUCGGGGGACAAAGUGACAGGUGGUGCAUGGUUGUCGUCAGCUCGUGUCGUGAGAUGUUGGGUUAAGUCCCGCAACGAGCGCAACCCUUAAGCUUAGUCGCCAUCAUUAAGUUGGGCACUCUAAGUUGACUGCCGGUGACAAACCGGAGGAAGGUGGGGAUGACGUCAAAUCAUCAUGCCCCUUAUGAUUUGGGCUACACACGUGCUACAAUGGACAAUACAAAGGGCAGCGAAACCGCGAGGUCAAGCAAAUCCCAUAAAGUUGUUCUCAGUUCGGAUUGUAGUCUGCAACUCGACUACAUGAAGCUGGAAUCGCUAGUAAUCGUAGAUCAGCAUGCUACGGUGAAUACGUUCCCGGGUCU
RNAcentral lists this ribosomal RNA (1372 nucleotides) under uncultured bacterium. Its description in RNAcentral is "bacterial SSU rRNA". It matches the Rfam family "Bacterial small subunit ribosomal RNA", at positions 28 to 1381 of the family's 1533-position model. The record is from RNAcentral.